ACUCAAAUGAAUUGACGGGGACCCGCACAACCGGUGGAGCGUGUGGUUCAAUUCGAGACGAAACGAAAAACCUCACCAGGGUUUGACAUGCAAUCGUACAUUUCCCUAGAAAUAGGGAGAAAUCCGCAAGGAUGAUUGCACAGGUGCUGCAUGGCUGUCAUCAGCUCGUGCCGUGAGGUGUUCCCUUAAGUGGGGAAACGAGCGCAACCCGCGUCCAAUGUUGGAUUGAUCAUUGGAGACGGUCCCAAUUUUUUAUUGGGAAGGAAGGGGCGGAAGAUGUCAAGUCAGCACGGCCCUUAUACCCUGGGCUACACACACACUACAAUGGCGAAAAACAACGGGUUGCAAGCGCGUAAGUGCAAGCUAAUCCCUGAAAUUUCGCCCCAGUUCAGAUUGGGGUCUGAAACCUGACCUCAUGAAGUCGGAAUCGGUAGUAAUCGCAAAUCAGCAUGUUGCGGUGAAUACGUUCUCGGGUCUUGUACACACCGCCCGU
Molecule: ribosomal RNA, 493 nt
Filed under: uncultured bacterium
Lineage: Bacteria
Description: partial 16S ribosomal RNA
Rfam family: Bacterial small subunit ribosomal RNA
Source: RNAcentral